UCUUGGUCAUUUAGAGGAAGUAAAAGUCGUAACAAGGUCUCCGUAGGUGAACCUGCGGAGGGAUCAUUAUUGAACGGUCUUUUGACCUUCGACCCCUCAAACCUGUGGAACCCAAACUGUGCUUCGGCGACCCCUUCGGGCGCCGCUUUUAUGCGUAAACCAGUGUGUCGUCUGAAUCUAUACAACAGAAUCAAAACUUUCAACAAAGGAUCUCUUGGCUCUCGCAUCGAUGAAGAACGCAGCGAAGCGCGAAAUGUAGUGUGAAUCGCAGAACAUUGUGAAUCAUCGAAUCUUUGAACGCACAUUGGGCCUCUUGUAACGCAGAGGCAUGCCUGUCUGAGUCUCAUUUAACCUAUAAACCUGUAUGGGUUUGUGCCUGGGCGUUCGCCUGCUUGGCGUCGCCUUGAAGUCAUCUGUCUUAUGAGCGGACGAGAUCCUGAUGGACUGACCGUUUGUAGGACCCUAAAUCAAUGAUUUGAGCUCAGAUCAGGUAGGACUACCGCCUGAACUUAAGCAUAUCAAUAAGCGGAGGAA
RNAcentral lists this ribosomal RNA (534 nucleotides) under uncultured fungus. RNAcentral describes it as "eukaryotic LSU rRNA". The stretch from base 195 to 346 matches the Rfam family "5.8S ribosomal RNA". The record is from RNAcentral. Lineage: Eukaryota; Fungi.